GAUGAACGCUGGCGGCGUGCUUAACACAUGCAAGUCGAACGAAGCACCUUGAUUUGAUUCUUCGGAUGAAGAUCUUGGUGACUGAGUGGCGGACGGGUGAGUAACGCGUGGGUAACCUGCCUCAUACAGGGGGAUAACAGUUAGAAAUGACUGCUAAUACCGCAUAAGACCACAGCACCGCAUGGUGCAGGGGUAAAAACUCCGGUGGUAUGAGAUGGACCCGCGUCUGAUUAGGUAGUUGGUGGGGUAACGGCCUACCAAGCCGACGAUCAGUAGCCGACCUGGAGGGGGGACCGGCCCAUUUGGGACGGGGACACGCCCCAACUCCUACGGGAGGCAGCAGUGGGGAAUAUUGCACAAUGGGGGAAACCCUGAUGCAGCGACGCCGCGUGAGCGAUGAAGUAUUUCGGUAUGUAAAGCUCUAUCAGCAGGGAAGAAAAUGACGGUACCUGACUAAGAAGCACCGGCUAAAUACGUG
Molecule: ribosomal RNA, 478 nt
Filed under: uncultured bacterium
Lineage: Bacteria
Description: partial 16S ribosomal RNA
Rfam family: Bacterial small subunit ribosomal RNA
Source: RNAcentral